Numida meleagris (helmeted guineafowl) is the source of this 1875-nucleotide long non-coding RNA. RefSeq lists it as uncharacterized. The transcript is spliced from 2 exons. The record is from RefSeq and is a predicted model, not a curated record. NCBI's taxonomy places the organism in Eukaryota, Metazoa, Chordata, Aves, Galliformes, Numididae.
CGCGCGCGGUGAUGUCAUGCGCGGCAACCGCAGCGGCGCCCGUGAGGGCCGCAGGGGCGCUCCCGUCUGUCCGCUCCGCAGAGGCACGGUGGCGGCUGGUGGCGAGGCGAGGCGCGGAGCGGGGUGGGGUGCUCGUUCUCACAGCCCCUCACAGGGCGGGUGAGGUCUCCCCGCAGCUGUAAUAGCAGCCCUAGCUAGGCCUGUGGGCUAGCGGCUCAGGUGCUGCUGCUCAGCGUAUGUAAGGCCUCCUGAUGCCUAACAGGAGAGCAGAAAAAGCUCAGCCUUUGCUGAGCUCUCUUUAUACUAAAGAAAUCACAAGUGUUGCAGCUGUUUGGUCUGCUGUGGAUAAAAGCCAGUAGUUCAGCAAGCACCUCUGUUAAUUCCAGAGAGGCAGUCCAGGAUGACAGACUCUACAGAGCGAAAUGUACUGGAGACCUACCAACUUCUGCUGCAGCUAGUCUGAGGAAAAAGGGCUACUAAACUCUAACAGGAAACUCAGCAGCAGGAAAACAGUGGUUGGAAAGAACUUGAAGAUGCAGAAGGAAGUGUGGUGACAGAUGCCUUGGGGAAGGUAGUUACUCAAAGUAUCAAAAUGUCAUUCCUGUGGCUCACACUAGAGAGCACAAGUUGUAAGUGUGGACUGUUACUUGCUGCCUGGUGAAUGCAGGGCAAAGUAAGUCUCCCUCUCAGUUAUUCCAGAUGUUUGUGCUGUAGGAAGCAUAUACUGCUAAAAAAAGGGAGAUUUUCUCAUACAACUGUUUGAACUACACUUGUCUGUGUAAAUAACAGCAGAAGGAACAGCUGCUAGCACUCGAGAAAUUAUGUGCUAGACUUUUCCCAUGCCUUGCUAAGGCUUUUUGUGUGAGUGGCAGCAGCCACUUUAUGACAUCUCUCUAAUACUGUCAGUUGUCUUGUGCAACGUGCACUCCCCAAAGGCUUGUGUGGAGCAGGAAGGAAAAGAUGGGCUCUCUCUUUUUUCCUACCACAAGGAAUCUGUUCCCCAGGGAGCAGGACAAGAUGUAGGCAAUGUCUGCACCAGCGCCUGCGUGGAUUGUAUAAGGCAUGGGGGACCAAUGAAUGACUAUACAAAACUGACAGCUUUCCCUGCGUAAUAAAUGCCAUGACUGGUUCUGUGACACUACCACUAUUAAUUUGUAGUGGCCAGAUGUUUGUAAUGGAGAUUAACCAUGUUAUUACUGUACAUGCUAUAUGACAGGCUCAGCGCCACUCUGCCCUGCAAAUUCUGAAGUGAUACACAAGUGGAAGAGCGUGGCUGAAUAUCUUCCAGAGGCACUGUCUGAAUCACUGGCGUCAUUUGGAAAUGAAAUAGCUCAUCUUUCAUUUGCCAAAUCCACAUGUUUACAAUUGCAGAGUUCAGAGAUUUGGUUGCAGGCCAUCUUCAGCUACAUCCUGAUAUAGUACUUACAGAAAGCAAUACAGAUCUUCAGACAAACAGUCACAAGGACUACAGCUCAGUAUUGGCUGGCAUGUUGGUGGUUUCAUGAUGAUACUGGAUGUAUCAUCAGUUGCAUCAGGAAAUCGCCUGUGAAUAGUUCAGAUGUCAUGUGUCUUCUGCAAAUGGUUGCAGUCAUUUCCGGUGGGGUAAUGUAAUGAGGAUAGAGGUGACAGUGUUUCAAGAGCAUGUCACAUGUCCAGGUGUUACUUAUUAAUUUGACUGGCAAACAGCCCUAUGUUUUUUUAACGCUGUGCAUUCUAUCUUCAGUAGCAAGCCUACCUGCCAAAUGUAACUUGGAGACUUUGAAAUAUAGCAACCUGUUAUUUUUCCUAACUACCUUCAUUACCAUUGUUUAGAUACCGAGUCCUAAGAAAACCUAAGUGCUAGAUUAAAAAAUAAAUAAAUAAAUGCAUAAUCCU